This 423-nucleotide ribosomal RNA is filed under the name uncultured bacterium. Its description in RNAcentral is "bacterial SSU rRNA". It matches the Rfam family "Bacterial small subunit ribosomal RNA", at positions 954 to 1392 of the family's 1533-position model. The record is from RNAcentral.
GCUUAACGCGAAGAACCUUACCCAGGUUUGACAUCCCACUAAGGACUCCGAAAGGAGACUGUGUCUUCGGACCGUGGUGACAGGUGUUGCAUGGCCGUCGUCAGCUCGUGUCGUGAGAUGUUUGGUUAAGUCCAUCAACGAGCGCAACCCUUAUAGUUAGUUGUAUUUCUCUAGCUAGACUGCCCUGGCAACAGGGAGGAAGGAGGGGAUGAUGUCAGGUCAGUAUUACCCUUACACCUGGGGCUACAAACACGCUACAAUGGCCGGUACAAAGGGCAGCCAACCCGCGAGGGGGAGCAAAUCCCAUCAAAGCCGGUCUCAGUUCGGAUUGCAGGCUGAAACUCGCCUGCAUGAAGCUGGAAUCGCUAGUAAUGGUAGGUCAGCACACUACCGUGAAUACGUUCCCGGGUCUUGUACACACCG